This 433-nucleotide ribosomal RNA is filed under the name uncultured bacterium. RNAcentral's name for it is "partial 16S ribosomal RNA". It matches the Rfam family "Bacterial small subunit ribosomal RNA", at positions 29 to 507 of the family's 1533-position model. The record is from RNAcentral.
AGCGAACGCUGGCGGCAGGCCUAACACAUGCAAGUCGAACGAACUCUUCGGAGUUAGUGGCGGACGGGUGAGUAACACGUGGGAACGUGCCUUUAGGUCCGGAAUAACUCAGGGAAACUUGUGCUAAUACCGAAUGUGCCCUUCGGGGGAAAGAUUUAUCGCCUUUAGAGCGGCCCGCGUCUGAUUAGCUAGUUGGUGAGGUAAAGGCUCACCAAGGCGACGAUCAGUAGCUGGUCUGAGAGGAUGAUCAGCCACAUUGGGACUGAGACACGGCCCAAACUCCUACGGGAGGCAGCAGUGGGGAAUCUUGCGCAAUGGGCGAAAGCCUGACGCAGCCAUGCCGCGUGAAUGAUGAAGGUCUUAGGAUUGUAAAAUUCUUUCACCGGGGACGAUAAUGACGGUACCCGGAGAAGAAGCCCCGGCUAACUUCGUG